This 274-nucleotide ribosomal RNA is filed under the name uncultured Acholeplasma sp. RNAcentral's name for it is "partial 16S ribosomal RNA". It matches the Rfam family "Bacterial small subunit ribosomal RNA", at positions 1112 to 1382 of the family's 1533-position model. The record is from RNAcentral. Lineage: Bacteria; Bacillati; Mycoplasmatota; Mollicutes; Acholeplasmatales; Acholeplasmataceae.
UAGUUUACCAUCAUUAAGUUUAGGGGACGUCUAGCGAGACUGCCAGUGAUAAACUAGGAGGAAGGUGGGGAUGACGUCAAAUCAUCAUGCCCCUUAUGACCUGGGCUACAAACGUGAUACAAUGGCUGAAACAAAGGGCAGCGAAGCAGUGAUGUGAAGCGAAACCCAAAAAAGCAGUCUCAGUUCGGAUUGAAGUCUGCAACUCGACUUCAUGAAGUCGGAAUCGCUAGUAAUCGCGAAUCAGAACGUCGCGGUGAAUACGUUCUCGGGGUUU